This 1606-nucleotide ribosomal RNA is filed under the name metagenome. Its description in RNAcentral is "bacterial LSU rRNA". It matches the Rfam family "Bacterial large subunit ribosomal RNA", at positions 1197 to 2911 of the family's 2925-position model. The record is from RNAcentral.
AAGCCGUGGAUUAGAUAGUAAUAUCUACUGGUAGGGGAGCAUUCCAUUUGCGCCGAAGCAGUGUCGUGAGGCAUUGUGGAGCGGAUGGAAAAGCAAAUGUAGGCAUAAGUAACGACAAUGCGGGUGGGAAACCCGCACGCCGUAAAGCUAAGGUUUCCUGAUCAACGUUAAUCGGAUCAGGGUUUGCCGGGGCCUAAGAAAAAGCCGCAAGGCGUAUUCGAUGGAUAGCAGGUUAAUAUUCCUGCGCUCACCAUGCGAUAAAAGUGACGGAGUCCCCAUAUUGCUACGUACUGACGGAAUAGUACGUUGAGCCUAGCCCUCGGGUGAAGCGAAGCAGGGCAAGGGCUUCCAAGAAAAGCGAGCAUGGUACCCGUACCGUAAACCGACACAGGUAGCUGAGGAGAGUAUCCUAAGGCGCUCGAGUGAUUCAUGGCUAAGGAACUAGGCAAAAUAACCCCGUAACUUAGGGAGAAGGGGAUCCCGCGCAAGCGGGACGCAGAGAAAUGGCCCAUGCGACUGUUUAUCAAAAACACAGGGCUAUGCAAAAUCGAAAGAUGACGUAUAUGGCCUGACACCUGCCCGGUGCUGGAAGGUUAAGUGGGGGGCUUAUCGCAAGGGAAGGCCUGAAAUGAAGCCCCAGUAAACGGCGGCCGUAACAAUAACGGUCCUAAGGUAGCGAAAUUCCUUGUCGGGUAAGUUCCGACCUGCACGAAUGGUGUAACGAUGUGGGCACUGUCUCGGCCAUGAGCUCGGUGAAAUUGUAGUAUCGGUGAAGAUGCCGAUUACCCGCAACGGGACGGAAAGACCCCGUGAACCUUUACUGCAGCUUCACAUUGAUUCUGGGUAAGUGAUGUGUAGGAUAGGACGGAGGCUGCGAAGCGGUUUCGCUAGGAAUCGUGGAGCCAUCCUUGAAAUACGUCCCUUUGCUUACUUGGAACCUAAUUCCGAUUUAUCGGAAGACAGUGUGUGGUGGUAGUUUGACUGGGGUGGUCGCCUCCAAAAGCGUAACGGAGGCUCCUAAAGGUACCCUCAAGGCGAUUGGUAACCGCCUGCAGAGUGUAAUGGCACAAGGGUGCUUGACUGUGAGACAGACAGGUCGAUCAGGUACGAAAGUAGAGCAUAGUGAUCCGGUGGUCCCGAAUGGAAGGGCCAUCGUUCAAAGGAUAAAAGGUACUCCGGGGAUAACAGGCUGAUCGCUCCCAAGAGCUCAUAUCGACGGAGCGGUUUGGCACCUCGAUGUCGGCUCGUCACAUCCUGGGGCUGGAGAAGGUCCCAAGGGUUCGGCUGUUCGCCGAUUAAAGUGGCACGCGAGCUGGGUUCAGAACGUCGUGAGACAGUUCGGUCCCUAUCUGUUGUGGGCGUUGGAGAUUUGAGGGGACCUGCCGCUAGUACGAGAGGACCGCGGUGGACACACCUCUAGUGUACCGGUUGUGGCGCCAGCUGCAUCGCCGGGUAGCUAUGUGUGGAACAGAUAAGCGCUGAAAGCAUCUAAGCGCGAAGCUGACCUCAAGAUGAGAUCUCCUUUAAGGGCCGUCAGAGACGAUGACGUUGAUAGGCUGCAGGUGUAAAGACGGUAACGUCAAAGCCGAGCAGUACUAAUUGCCCG